GAUGAACGCUGGCGGCGUGCCUAACACAUGCAAGUCGAACGGAAAGACCCUGCUCUUGUGGGGUGCUCGAGUGGCGAACGGGUGAGUAACACGUGAGUAACCUGCCCUUGAAUUUGGGAGAACUUCAGGAAACUGGGGCUAAUAUCGGAGAGGAUCUCCUGCUGCAUGGGGGGGGUUGGAAAGUGUCGGCUGUUGGGGAUGGACUGGCGGGUUACGAGCUAGUUGGUGGGGUAGUUGCGUACCAAGCGUUUGACGGGUAGCCGACAUGAGAGCGUGACCGGGGACCUUGGGACUGCGAGACGCAGCAGUAGGGUACGUGAGGCAAUGGUGGAAAGUAUUACACAGUGAGCGGAAGCGUGAUACGACGGCCUUGGGUGCGGAAUGACGUCCUUCGGGUUAUAAACAGCUUUCGCCUGAGACGAAGCGUGAGUGACGGUAAUGGGUCAAGAAGCACCGGCUAACUACGUG
This 468-nucleotide ribosomal RNA is filed under the name uncultured bacterium. Its description in RNAcentral is "partial 16S ribosomal RNA". It matches the Rfam family "Bacterial small subunit ribosomal RNA", at positions 28 to 507 of the family's 1533-position model. The record is from RNAcentral.